Molecule: ribosomal RNA, 492 nt
Filed under: uncultured bacterium
Lineage: Bacteria
Description: partial 16S ribosomal RNA
Rfam family: Bacterial small subunit ribosomal RNA
Source: RNAcentral
AGUGAACGCUGGCGGUAGGCCUAACACAUGCAAGUCGAACGGCAGCACCGUAAGAGCUUGCUCUUACGGGUGGGGAGCGGCGGAGGGGGGAGGAAUACAUCGGAAUCUACUUUUUGGUGGGGGUUAACGUAGGGAAACUUACCCUACUACCGAAUACGACCUACGGGAGAAAGCAGGGGAUCUUCGGACCUUGCGCGAUUGAAUGACCCGAUGUCGGAUUAGCUAGUUGGCGGGGUAAAGGCCCACCAAGGCGACGAUCCGUAGCUGGUCUGAGAGGAUGAUCAGCCACACUGGAACUGAGACACGGUCCAGACUCCUACGGGAGGCAGCAGUGGGGAAUAUUGGACAAUGGGCGCAAGCCUGAUCCAGCCAUACCGCGUGGGUGAAGAAGGCCUUCGGGUUGUAAAGCCCUUUUGUUGGGAAAGAAAAGCAGCAGGUUAAUACCCCGCUGUUCUGACGGUACCCAAAGAAUAAGCACCGGCUAACUUCGUG